GACGAACGCUGGCGGCGUGCUUAACACAUGCAAGUCGAACGGAAAGGCCCUGCUUUUGUGGGGUGCUCGAGUGGCGAACGGGUGAGUAACACGUGAGUAACCUGCCCUUGACUUUGGGAUAACUUCAGGAAACUGGGGCUAAUACCGGAUAGGAGCUCCUGCUGCAUGGUGGGGGUCGGAAAGUUUCGGCGGUUGGGGAUGGACUCGCGGCUUAUCAGCUUGUUGGUGGGGUAGUGGCUUACCAAGGCUUUGACGGGUAGCCGGCCUGAGAGGGUGACCGGCCACAUUGGGACUGAGACACGGCCCAGACUCCUACGGGAGGCAGCAGUGGGGAAUAUUGCACAAUGGGCGGAAGCCUGAUGCAGCAACGCCGCGUGCGGGAUGACGGCCUUCGGGUUGUAAACCGCUUUCGCCUGUGACGAAGCGUGAGUGACGGUAAUGGGUAAAGAAGCACCGGCUAACUACGUGCCAGCAGCCGCGGUGAUACGUAGGGUGCGAGCGUUGUCCGGAUUUAUUGGGCGUAAAGGGCUCGUAGGUGGUUGAUCGCGUCGGAAGUGUAAUCUUGGGGCUUAACCCUGAGCGUGCUUUCGAUACGGGUUGACUUGAGGAAGGUAGGGGAGAAUGGAAUUCCUGGUGGAGCGGUGGAAUGCGCAGAUAUCAGGAGGAACACCAGUGGCGAAGGCGGUUCUCUGGGCCUUUCCUGACGCUGAGGAGCGAAAGCGUGGGGAGCGAACAGGCUUAGAUACCCUGGUAGUCCACGCUGUAAACGGUGGGUACUAGGUGUGGGGUCCAUUCCACGGGUUCCGUGCCGUAGCUAACGCUUUAAGUACCCCGCCUGGGGAGUACGGCCGCAAGGCUAAAACUCAAAGGAAUUGACGGGGCCCCGCACAAGCGGCGGAGCAUGCGGAUUAAUUCGAUGCAACGCGUAGAACCUUACCUGGGUUUGACAUGGAUCGGGAGCGCUCAGAGAUGGGUGUGCCUCUUUUGGGGUCGGUUCACAGGUGGUGCAUGGCUGUCGUCAGCUCGUGUCGUGAGAUGUUGGGUUAAGUCCCGCAACGAGCGCAACCCUUGUUCACUGUUGCCAGCACGUUAUGGUGGGGACUCAGUGGAGACCGCCGGGGUCAACUCGGAGGAAGGUGGGGAUGACGUCAAGUCAUCAUGCCCCUUAUGUCCAGGGCUUCACGCAUGCUACAAUGGCUGGUACAGAGAGUGGCGAGCCUGUGAGGGUGAGCGAAUCUCGGAAAGCCGGUCUCAGUUCGGAUUGGGGUCUGCAACUCGACCUCAUGAAGUCGGAGUCGCUAGUAAUCGCAGAUCAGCAACGCUGCGGUGAAUACGUUCCCGGGGCU
Molecule: ribosomal RNA, 1346 nt
Filed under: uncultured bacterium
Lineage: Bacteria
Description: bacterial SSU rRNA
Rfam family: Bacterial small subunit ribosomal RNA
Source: RNAcentral